AAAGGGAGACCCAAUUCAGGUAGGAGACGAAAAAAAAGUAGUCCCUACCAGGAAUCAAUCCCAAAAGGUCGGAGCGAGGCGAAAUUGGCUUUCAAACUAGGUUCUGGGUUCAAACAAGACCUGAAUCAGGAACAAGGGCUAUUAGCUCAGGUGGUUAGAGCGCACCCCUGAUAAGGGUGAGGUCCCUGGUUCGAGUCCAGGAUGGCCCACCUGCACAGGUGGCAAAAACAAGAGAAGCGAGGAAUCAGCACCUUAUCUUACUGACAUAGUAAGAGAGAAUGCUGGCUCUGAGUGAAGAGUCCAGAGGAACCUUGAAAACUGCAUAGAGCUAGGUGAAAAAGCCAAAAAAGAAGACCGCAAG
This 361-nucleotide transfer RNA is filed under the name uncultured Microcystis sp. RNAcentral's name for it is "partial 16S-23S ribosomal RNA intergenic spacer". The stretch from base 136 to 209 matches the Rfam family "tRNA". Lineage: Bacteria; Bacillati; Cyanobacteriota; Cyanophyceae; Chroococcales; Microcystaceae. The record is from RNAcentral.